RNA transcript from Mus musculus (house mouse), 5300 nucleotides. It is a transcript of the gene named TBC1 domain family, member 9B, with no coding region annotated. The record is from RefSeq and is marked validated. NCBI's taxonomy places the organism in Eukaryota, Metazoa, Chordata, Mammalia, Rodentia, Muridae. The transcript has 21 exons.
UUCCUGACAACUGGGCUCUUGAGGAUCCCAACCUUAGACUUGAGUCAAAAUCCCGAGGCUGACCAGGCGCUGCUGUACCCUUCUCCAGACGCUUUUUGCCACAUUAACUCGCCUGGGCUGCACAGUAGGCAGAGAGCAUGCGAUCCCCUCCAAACUGGACAGCGGCAGCAGGGCUGGAGGGGACUGCCAGGCCAGGAGAGGUCGAGGAGGGCGACGCUGUGAGCCAGCGCGGCCGCUAGGGGGAGCCAACCUUCGGGCCGACGUCUCGACCCCGCCCCAGCCUCUCGGCUCCUCUCGGCUCGGCUCGGGCGCGGCGACGGCGGCGCGCGCUUCCGCCUCACGGGCUCUGGCCCGGUGCGAGCGGCCGCGGGAUGUGGCUCGGGCCCGAGGAGGUGCUGGUGGCUAACGCGCUAUGGGUGACGGAGCGGGCCAACCCCUUCUUCGUGCUGCAGCGGCGCCGAGGCCACGGCAAGGGCGGAGGCCUCACGGGUCUUCUUGUGGGCACCCUGGAUGUGGUGCUGGACUCCAGCGCCCGUGUGGCCCCUUACCGCAUCCUGCACCAGACCCAGGACUCGCAGGUCUACUGGAUAGUGGCAUGUGGUUCUUCCCGAAAAGAGAUCACCAAACACUGGGAAUGGCUGGAAAACAACUUGCUUCAGACACUGUCCAUCUUCGACAACGAGGAGGACAUCACUACCUUCGUCAAGGGCAAGAUACACGGCAUCAUCGCAGAAGAGAACAAGAACCUGCAGCCCCAGGGGGACGAGGACCCAGGGAAAUUCAAGGAGGCAGAGCUAAAGAUGCGGAAGCAGUUCGGCAUGCCAGAGGGCGAGAAGCUGGUCAACUACUACUCCUGUAACUUCUGGAAGGGCCGCGUGCCGCGCCAGGGCUGGCUCUACCUGACCGUCAACCACCUGUGCUUCUACUCCUUCCUGCUGGGGAAGGAAGUGAGCCUGGUGGUACAGUGGGUGGACGUCACACGCCUGGAGAAGAAUGCCACUUUACUCUUCCCCGAGAGCAUCCGUGUGGACACACGGGACCAGGAGCUGUUUUUCUCCAUGUUCCUAAACAUUGGCGAGACCUUCAAGCUUAUGGAGCAGCUGGCCAACCUGGCCAUGCGACAACUGCUGGACAGCGAGGGCUUCCUGGAGGACAAGGCCCUACCCAGGCCUAUCCGGCCACAUAAGAACAUCUCAGCUCUAAAGCGAGACCUAGAUGCCCGAGCCAAGAAUGAGUGCUACAGGGCCACGUUCCGGCUACCCAAAGACGAGCGGCUGGAUGGCCACACAGGCUGCACCCUAUGGACGCCAUUUAACAAGCUACAUAUCCCCGGCCAGAUGUUCAUCUCCAAUAACUACAUCUGCUUUGCCAGCAAGGAGGAAGAUGCGUGCCGCCUCAUCAUACCCCUGAGGGAGGUGACCAUUGUUGAAAAAGCCGACAGCUCCAGCGUCCUCCCCAGCCCUCUGUCUAUCAGCACCAAGAGUAAAAUGACCUUCCUGUUUGCCAACCUGAAAGACCGUGACUUCCUGGUUCAGAGGAUCUCUGACUUCCUCCAGAAAACGCCGUCCAAGCAGACGGGCAGCAGCAUUGGGGGAACAAAGGCCAGUGUUUCAGACCCAGCCCCAGAGUCUCUCCCAACUCCACAGGAGGCUUCUGAGCCACCCGCAAGCCCAUCCUCUCCCCUCAGCAGCCCUCCGAGUUUCAGUACCCAGGAGAUUCCUACUACUUCCCAGGGCCUGCUCAAAGUCUUCCAGAAGAACUCACCCAUGGAGGACCUUGGCGCCAAAGGGGCCAAGGAGAAGAUGAAGGAGGAAUCCUGGAACAUCCACUUCUUUGAGUACGGGCGUGGCAUGUGCAUGUACCGAACAGCCAAAACCCGGGAGCUGGUCCUGAAAGGCAUCCCUGAGAGCCUCCGAGGGGAGCUUUGGCUCCUCUUCUCUGGGGCCUGGAAUGAGAUGGUGACCCAUCCCGGCUACUACGCUGAGCUAGUGGAGAAGUCCCUGGGGAAGUACAGCUUGGCUACCGAGGAGAUAGAGCGGGACCUCCAUCGCUCCAUGCCCGAGCACCCUGCUUUCCAGAAUGAGCUCGGGAUCGCUGCGCUCCGGCGGGUGCUGACUGCCUACGCCUUCCGAAACCCUACUAUUGGCUACUGCCAGGCAAUGAACAUCGUGACUUCCGUGCUCCUGCUCUACGGCAGUGAGGAGGAAGCCUUCUGGCUGCUGGUGGCCCUGUGUGAGCGCAUGCUGCCCGACUACUACAACACCAGGGUAGUGGGAGCCCUCGUAGACCAGGGCAUCUUUGAAGAGCUCACGAGAGAUGUCCUGCCCCGGCUCUCAGAGAAGAUGCAAGAGCUGGGGGUGAUCUCCAGCAUCUCGCUGUCCUGGUUCCUGACCCUCUUCCUCAGCGUCAUGCCCUUUGAGAGCGCCGUGGUCAUUGUCGACUGCUUCUUCUACGAGGGCAUCAAGGUGAUCCUGCAGGUGGCCCUGGCUGUGCUGGACGCCAACGUGGAGCAGCUGCUGGACUGCAAUGACGAGGGCGAGGCCAUGACCGUGCUGGGCAGGUACCUGGACAAUGUGGUCAACAAGCAGAGCAUUUCUCCACCUAUCCCACACCUCCACGCUCUGCUGACCAGUGGAGAUGACCCUCCUGUGGAGGUGGACAUCUUUGACCUCCUGAGAGUAUCCUACGAGAAGUUCAGCAACCUGAGGGCUGACGACAUUGAACAGAUGCGGUUUAAACAGAGGCUGAAGGUGAUCCAGUCCUUGGAAGACACGGCUAAGAGAAGCGUGGUCCGAGCCAUACCAGGGGACAUCGGCUUCUCCAUUGAAGAGCUGGAGGAUCUUUACAUGGUGUUUAAGGUGGGAUGUACCAUGGAGACCUCACUGAGAAGCUCAAGGCGCUCUACAAACUGCACCUGCCCCCAGCUCUGAUCCCAGAGGAAGCCGAGUCAGCCCUGGAGGCCGCCCAUUACUUCACAGAGGAUAGCUCCUCGGAAGCAUCUCCUCUGGCCUCAGAUCUGGAUCUUUUCCUGCCCUGGGAGGCUCAAGCACUGCUACAGGAGCAGCAGGAAGGAAGUGGAAAUGAGGACACCCCAGAAAGAAGAGAGGAGAAGGGGACCAGCCCUCCUGACUACCGACACUACCUUCGAAUGUGGGCUAAGGAAAAAGAGGCUCAGAAGGAAACCAUUAAGGACCUUCCCAAGAUGAACCAGGAGCAAUUCAUCGAGCUGUGUAAAACACUUUACAACAUGUUUAGCGAAGACCCUAUGGAACAGGACUUGUAUCAUGCCAUCGCCACUGUGGCCAGCCUUCUCCUCCGCAUUGGUGAGGUGGGGAAGAAGUUUUCGGCCCUGACAACCAAGAAGCCCAGGGAUGGUGCCCACAGUGGGGAUCCCAACAGUGCCACAGAAGAGGAUGAACCACCCACACCCAAACUCCAUCAGGACCCAACACAGGAAUGUCAGCCACCAGCUGCAGGGGACCGGCAGGCCAAAGCCAGUGGCGACAUGCAUCUCGGGAAAGCAUUGCAGGAUAGUCAUGUGAUAGUGGAGGGAGGCAGCGGUGAGGGGCAGGGCUCUCCUUCCCUGCUUUUGUCUGAUGAUGAAACCAAAGAUGACAUGUCCAUGUCCUCUUACUCAGUAGUCAGCACGGGCUCACUGCAGUGCGAGGACCUCACGGAAGACACGGUGCUGGUGGGAGGAGGAGCCUGCAGCCCCACCGCCACCUCACGGGCGGGGGGCACUGUGGACACAGACUGGUGCAUUUCCUUCGAGCAGAUCCUGGCCUCCAUCCUAACAGAGUCUGUGCUAGUGAACUUCUUUGAGAAGAGGGUAGACAUUGGACUCAAGAUCAAGGACCAAAAGAAAGUAGAAAGGCAGUUUAGCACCUCCAGUGACCAUGAGCCCCCUGGGGUCUUGGGCUGAACUGUGAAAUGGAAGGCAGUCUCUGUCUCCUUCCUUCUCCCUCGCUGUUUUCUCCUCACAGACACACCUGUUCUUGGAGCAGGGUGUCACAGAAGCAAAGGAGGUCAGGUCCACGCAGACCCAGUUGCCUUACAGGGAUUCCCUAGGCCAGGGCAACCUCUUCCUCCCUGCUCUUGGUUACCUGGAGGACCUGCUUUGAGCCUCCUGUUCCCAUAGCAUUAGAGGCUUUUGGAUCUGCCCCUGCCUGCUUCUUGCCCCUGCACCCUGUGCUGUGCACACACUACACUGGUUGCACCAUCUAUGGAAAGACCUACAGCCAUGUGGCCUGGCCACCAAUUGUCACUUUGCCAUGUGCUUGGGCCCCAAAGGAUGCAACCUUCUAGACACCCUCUGAAGUUCUUCAGCCUGAACCUGCGUCUUAGGACUGAGGAACGCAGGGGAAUGUCUGUCGCAUGGGUAGGAGCCUUGCACUGCACACCCAACUUACGAGGACUCCAUUCCUCUGCAUCAUUAACUUGGAAAGUGCACCCCUCAGGUCCUCCUCUAGAACCCUGCCCUCAUUUUAGUUGGCUAAAAACCACACUGUGCUCAAUGCCUUAAUAAAUCCCUGAAAGAAAGAAAAAGCACACUGUGUGCAGUGCUUUUCCUGUGGCUUUCAGUCUGUGUAUGCUUUCUUCCCAAGUCAGGUAUAUGGCCCAGAAAGCAUUGUGGGGAGUUCAGUUCACUUGGCUGCCUGUAGUAGGUGAGGGGAUUGCUAGACUUUCCAUGGUACACAGUAACUGUAGUCACAGGUCUUAGGCUCAGUGUCCAAAGAUGUAUGAAUAUAGUAGAUACAUCCUCAGGCCUGAGUCACACCAAGUUGUCAGCCCUUUGGUUCAGGAAGCAGACAUGGCCAGAGCAGGACUCAGCCAUGAGUUAGCCCUGGCUGUUUAGCAGGACAGAGGCAUCCAUGUGCCCAAGAGCUGCUUUUGCUUCUACCAACAAAUGGAUCCUGAUAAAGCCAAGUGCGGUGGGUGGCAUGUCUAUAAUCCUGCCCUUGAGGAUGAAGUAAGACAAUUGUGUUGUUUGAGGCCAACCCUAAGCUACAUGUGGAGAUCCUGUCUCAAAAAGCUAAAAUAAAUAAGAAGACAUUAGGUAUUAUUUACAACAAUACUUUAAACUUUGCUGAUUCCCAGCACGAAUGUAAAAGCUGGGCAUGGUCAUGCCCACCUGUGCCCCAGUGCUGGUGAUCAGAGAUGGGCAGCCUAACCAGAUAGCCAGCUUCAGGUUCAGUGAGAAACCCUGCCUCAAGGGAAUAACGCAGAGCGAUGAAAUGGGACAUGCUGGUCUCUGCCCACACCACCACACAAAUACUAAAUAAAAAAUUUUUUAAAAAUUA